UACAGAGGGGGCUAGCGUUGUUCGGAAUUACUGGGCGUAAAGGGCGCGUAGGUGGCCUGUUAAGUCGAACGUGAAAUCCCCGGGCUCAACCCGGGAACUGCGUCCGAGACUGGCAGGCUCGAAUCCGGGAGAGGGAUGUGGAAUUCCAGGUGUAGCGGUGAAAUGCGUAGAUAUCUGGAGGAACACCGGUGGCGAAGGCGGCAUCCUGGACCGGUAUUGACGCUGAGGCGCGAAAGCUAGGGGAGCAAACAGG
This 253-nucleotide ribosomal RNA is filed under the name uncultured bacterium. Its description in RNAcentral is "partial 16S ribosomal RNA". It matches the Rfam family "Bacterial small subunit ribosomal RNA", at positions 524 to 776 of the family's 1533-position model. The record is from RNAcentral.